AAAAAAGUAGUAUCGGAGAGAAAUUUAUGCUUUUCCUUGUUAUCGAUGGAUAAAAGAAGAUUUUGUGGUUUAUGAAGGAGCUGCCAUUUUGCCCAAUUCUCCUGACAAUGUCGAAGUGCUCAAACAGCAA
Xenia sp. Carnegie-2017 is the source of this 130-nucleotide long non-coding RNA. RefSeq lists it as uncharacterized. The record is from RefSeq and is a predicted model, not a curated record. Lineage: Eukaryota; Metazoa; Cnidaria; Anthozoa; Malacalcyonacea; Xeniidae. The transcript is spliced from 2 exons.